RNAcentral lists this ribosomal RNA (459 nucleotides) under Triticum aestivum (bread wheat). Its description in RNAcentral is "partial small subunit ribosomal RNA". Lineage: Eukaryota; Viridiplantae; Streptophyta; Magnoliopsida; Poales; Poaceae. The record is from RNAcentral.
AUGCCUGCCUCUGUUGUGGCUCAACUUAUUGCUGAUGGGGAGGAUGUUUCUGCUCAUGUUGUUGUGCUAGUUGGAGUGAUAUCAGAACAGGGACAUAGGGCUUACUUUGCACUAGAUUCAGCAGGAACAGCCUUUUGCAGGCAGGUGGGAAGUGCUGAAGGGUGGCGAUCUUUGUUCAACUGGAACAAAAAGAGUCAACUCGGAGGAUAUGGAAAAAUCACCGCCGAUAGUGCUUGGUUCACUAAUUUCUUCAAGGUUUCUAGACAGAAUGAUCAUGGGCUGCCUCCUAAACUCUUUGUUGCUAAUCAUGACCCUGAUGAUUAUCUUGUGGAUAACAUACCGACUGAUUUGACCAUCACCCCACAAGAAGAAGGGGACAUCAUCCUUGCUGCACGUAACAGGCGGUAUGUCUUUCAUGGAAGGUACUUGAGGCGUCGUUUUCGUCAGUUAUGGUAUUGA